CAAUUUAACAUCAAACUCAGAUGUUGAACGUGAAGGAUAACGUUGCGUCAGCAACGGCCCGUAGGGCGAGGCGAAGCCGAGUCAUCCUGCACGACCCACCA
RNAcentral lists this small RNA (101 nucleotides) under Salmonella enterica subsp. enterica serovar Derby. Its description in RNAcentral is "partial RtT sRNA". It matches the Rfam family "RtT RNA", at positions 49 to 130 of the family's 130-position model. From Rfam's summary of the family: This family represents a bacterial cis-regulatory element known as RtT RNA. The exact function of RtT is unknown although it is thought that it may be involved in changing the cellular response in relation to amino acid starvation. Lineage: Bacteria; Pseudomonadati; Pseudomonadota; Gammaproteobacteria; Enterobacterales; Enterobacteriaceae. The record is from RNAcentral. RNAcentral also lists the same sequence under 1 other name.